RNAcentral lists this ribosomal RNA (501 nucleotides) under uncultured bacterium. RNAcentral's name for it is "partial 16S ribosomal RNA". It matches the Rfam family "Bacterial small subunit ribosomal RNA", at positions 30 to 523 of the family's 1533-position model. The record is from RNAcentral.
AUUGAACGCUGGCGGAAUGCUUUACACAUGCAAGUCGAACGGCAGCACGGGUGCUUGCACCUGGUGGCGAGUGGCGAACGGGUGAGUAACACAUCGGAACGUACCCUGACAUGGGGGAUAACGUAGCGAAAGUUACGCUAAUACCGCAUACGUCCUGAGGGAGAAAGCAGGGGAUCGUAAGACCUUGCGCGUUAGGAGCGGCCGAUGGCGGAUUAGCUAGUUGGUAGGGUAAAGGCCUACCAAGGCGACGAUCCGUAGCGGGUCUGAGAGGAUGAUCAGCCACACUGGGACUGAGACACGGCCCAGACUCCUACGGGAGGCAGCAGUGGGGAAUUUUGGACAAUGGGGCAACCCUGAUCCAGCCAUUCCGCGUGAGUGAAGAAGGCCUUCGGGUUGUAAAGCUCUUUCGGCAGGAACGAAACGGUGGCCCCUAAUACGGGUUGCUAAUGACGGUACCUGAAGAAGAAGCACCGGCUAACUACGUGCCAGCCGCCGCAGUAA